RNAcentral lists this non-coding RNA (30 nucleotides) under Rattus norvegicus (Norway rat). Lineage: Eukaryota; Metazoa; Chordata; Mammalia; Rodentia; Muridae. The record is from RNAcentral.
UACUGUCUCAGGAUCACUACUGUUGCAGGU